Molecule: small nucleolar RNA, 83 nt
Organism: Arabidopsis thaliana (thale cress)
Lineage: Eukaryota; Viridiplantae; Streptophyta; Magnoliopsida; Brassicales; Brassicaceae
Rfam family: Small nucleolar RNA Z221/R21b
About the family: Z221 is a member of the C/D class of snoRNA which contain the C (UGAUGA) and D (CUGA) box motifs. Most of the members of the box C/D family function in directing site-specific 2'-O-methylation of substrate RNAs.
Source: Rfam
AGGCUGUGAUGAUUGAGAAUGUCAUGCACCACUCUGAUUUUUUGUGCUGAUAAUCAUCUCUAACCCAUAUUUUAUCUGAGCCU